Molecule: ribosomal RNA, 253 nt
Filed under: uncultured bacterium
Lineage: Bacteria
Description: partial 16S ribosomal RNA
Rfam family: Bacterial small subunit ribosomal RNA
Source: RNAcentral
UACGAAGGGAGCGAGCGUUAUUCGGAAUCACUGGGCUUAAAGCGUGCGUAGGCGGAAAUGUAAGUCAGAAGUGAAAGCCCAGGGCUCAACCCUGGAACUGCUUUUGAGACUGCAAUUCUAGAAUUCGGUAGAGGCUAGUGGAAUGUCCAGUGUAGAGGUGAAAUUCGCAGAUAUUGGACGGAACACCAGUGGCGAAGGCGACUAGCUGGGCCGAUAUUGACGCUGAGGCACGAAAGCGUGGGUAGCAAACAGG